Molecule: ribosomal RNA, 264 nt
Filed under: uncultured Staphylococcus sp.
Lineage: Bacteria; Bacillati; Bacillota; Bacilli; Caryophanales; Staphylococcaceae
Description: partial 16S ribosomal RNA
Rfam family: Bacterial small subunit ribosomal RNA
Source: RNAcentral
CGGCGGACGGGUGAGUAACACGUGGAUAACCUACCUAUAAGACUGGGAUAACUUCGGGAAACCGGAGCUAAUACCGGAUAAUAUAUUGAACCGCAUGGUUCAAUAGUGAAAGACGGUUUUGCUGUCACUUAUAGAUGGAUCCGCGCCGCAUUAGCUAGUUGGUAAGGUACGCUUACCAAGGCAACGAUGCGUAGCCGACCUUAGAGGGUGAUCGGCCACACUGGAACUGAGACACGGUCCAGACUCCUACGGGAGGCAGCAGGG